Molecule: ribosomal RNA, 466 nt
Filed under: uncultured bacterium
Lineage: Bacteria
Description: bacterial SSU rRNA
Rfam family: Bacterial small subunit ribosomal RNA
Source: RNAcentral
AUGAAUGCUGGCGGCGUGUCUAAGGCAUGCAAGUCGAACGGGUGUAUUUAGUAGCAAUACAAAGAUACACUAGUGGCAAACGGGAGCGUAACACAUUGGCAACCUACCUCGAACUCGUGGAUAACGAUUGGAAACGAUCGCUAAUACACGAUAUUGAUGGGGGGACGCAAGUCAUUCCCAUUGAAAGUUUUUCGGUUCGAGAGGGGCCUAUGGUCCAUCAGCUAGUUGGCGGGGUAACGGCCCACCAAGGCGACGACGGAUACCAGGCGCGAGAGCGUGACCUGGCUCAUUGGAACUGAGACACUGUCCAAACACCUACGGGUGGCUGCAGUCGAGAAUAUUCCACAAUGCACGAAAGUGUGAUGGAGCGACGCCGCGUGUCAAAAGAAGGCCUUCGGGUCGUAAAUGACUUUUCUCAGGGACGAAUUUUGACGGUACCUGAGGAAUAAGGGGUUGCUAACUCUGU